RNAcentral lists this ribosomal RNA (1372 nucleotides) under uncultured bacterium. RNAcentral describes it as "bacterial SSU rRNA". It matches the Rfam family "Bacterial small subunit ribosomal RNA", at positions 28 to 1381 of the family's 1533-position model. The record is from RNAcentral.
GAUGAACGCUGGCGGCGUGCCUAAUACAUGCAAGUCGAGCGAACGGACGAGAAGCUUGCUUCUCUGAUGUUAGCGGCGGACGGGUGAGUAACACGUGGAUAACCUACCUAUAAGACUGGGAUAACUUCGGGAAACCGGAGCUAAUACCGGAUAAUAUUUUGAACCGCAUGGUUCAAAAGUGAAAGACGGUCUUGCUGUCACUUAUAGAUGGAUCCGCGCUGCAUUAGCUAGUUGGUAAGGUAACGGCUUACCAAGGCAACGGUGCAUAGCCGACCUGAGAGGGUGAUCGGCCACACCGGAACUGAGACACGGUCCAGACUCCUACGGGAGGCAGCAGUAGGGAAUCUUCCGCAAUGGGCGAAAGCCUGACGGAGCAACGCCGCGUGAGUGAUGAAGGUCUUCGGAUCGUAAAACUCUGUUAUUAGGGAAGAACAUAUGUGUAAGUAACUGUGCACAUCUUGACGGUACCUAAUCAGAAAGCCACGGCUAACUACGUGCCAGCAGCCGCGGUAAUACGUAGGUGGCAAGCGUUAUCCGGAAUUAUUGGGCGUAAAGCGCGCGUAGGCGGUUUUUUAAGUCUGAUGUGAAAGCCCACGGCUCAACCGUGGAGGGUCAUUGGAAACUGGAAAACUUGAGUGCAGAAGAGGAAAGUGGAAUUCCAUGUGUAGCGGUGAAAUGCGCAGAGAUAUGGAGGAACACCAGUGGCGAAGGCGACUUUCUGGUCUGUAACUGACGCUGAUGUGCGAAAGCGUGGGGAUCAAACAGGAUUAGAUACCCUGGUAGUCCACGCCGUAAACGAUGAGUGCUAAGUGUUAGGGGGUUUCCGCCCCUUAGUGCUGCAGCUAACGCAUUAAGCACUCCGCCUGGGGAGUACGACCGCAAGGUUGAAACUCAAAGGAAUUGACGGGGACCCGCACAAGCGGUGGAGCAUGUGGUUUAAUUCGAAGCAACGCGAAGAACCUUACCAAAUCUUGACAUCCUUUGACAACUCUAGAGAUAGAGCUUUCCCCUUCGGGGGACAAAGUGACAGGUGGUGCAUGGUUGUCGUCAGCUCGUGUCGUGAGAUGUUGGGUUAAGUCCCGCAACGAGCGCAACCCUUAAGCUUAGUUGCCAUCAUUAAGUUGGGCACUCUAAGUUGACUGCCGGUGACAAACCGGAGGAAGGUGGGGAUGACGUCAAAUCAUCAUGCCCCUUAUGAUUUGGGCUACACACGUGCUACAAUGGACAAUACAAAGGGCAGCGAAACCGCGAGGUCAAGCAAAUCCCAUAAAGUUGUUCUCAGUUCGGAUUGUAGUCUGCAACUCGACUACAUGAAGCUGGAAUCGCUAGUAAUCGUAGAUCAGCAUGCUACGGUGAAUACGUUCCCGGGUCU